Molecule: unclassified non-coding RNA, 2887 nt
Filed under: Dendronephthya gigantea
Lineage: Eukaryota; Metazoa; Cnidaria; Anthozoa; Malacalcyonacea; Nephtheidae
Description: dNA excision repair protein ERCC-6-like 2, transcript variant X2
Source: RNAcentral
GGUCAAAUCAAAUAUGGCGGCCAAAUGGCCAAUGGAAAAAUAUAAAUGAUCCAAGAUUUGGCCGCUAGUAUGAAACCUCGGUUAUUUUUGAAGACUUAGCCGUUUGGAUGAUGAUGUACACCUAUGGGUGAACAACUAAUUAAAAUUAAAAUUUUCAAAUUCAAUAUGGAUUUAGUGCACAAAAUGUACAAAACUUGCUCAUAAAUGAACAAAGAAUGCUAGAAGGUGACAGUGCUUCUGAGAAACAAAACCAUGUCCAAAGACCUGAAAGAGGAGCUGAAGGAACGAAUUGUGCCGUUAAGAGGCACAUCUUUGAUGAUGUGCAUGGGUUUACUGAUGAGGAUCUGGAAAAGCCUAAUUUCCCACUAAAAUCAUCAUCAGAAAAAAUACCAUUUUACUUGUCAGAUGUUGACAAGCCACCAAUAGUACAGGUUCCAUCUACAAUCAAUCAAUAUCUGCGUGAAUACCAAAAGGAGGGCAUAGCAUUCCUUUAUAGACAGUAUUCCCGUGGGGAAGGUGCUAUUUUAGCUGAUGAUAUGGGCUUGGGAAAAACCGUUCAGGUAAUCGGUUUUAUUUCUGCGGUACUUGGGAAGACAGGAACAAAGAUGGAUAUCUAUGGGAAAUUUCUGUCAGAGAAUGAUAAAAAUAAGGUUUCCCUCUGUAAUCAUGUAAAGAAAGAAAAAGGUUCAUUUCUCAUUGUCUCGCCAAAUUCUGUUCUUUACAACUGGCAUGAUGAGCUGAUGACUUGGGGUUAUUUUAAAAUUGGAAAAUUUCACAAAAGCAAACGAGAUGAGACCUUUCAAAAAGCGCUGUCAGAAAAGUUAGAUGUUGUUUUGACGACGUACGAAACUCUGCGUAAUCAUUGGGAAACUUUGAAUAGAAUAAAGUGGUUGGCGGUAAUUAUGGACGAAGUACACUAUUUGAAGGAUCCGAAAAGAGCUGUUACAAUUGCUUCCAAAUCCUUAAAUAUCAAAUGCAGGAUUGGUCUAACAGGAACACCGUUACAAAACAGAUUGCUAGAUUUCUGGUCAGUUCUCGAUUGGGCCACUCCUGGUUGCCUGGGGGAUAAAGAAGACUUUAUUAAUGACUUCGGUAAACCAAUCAUGCAAGGACAAAGAUUUGAUGGUACGAAGAGAGAACUUGCGACUGGAAGAAAAAAAACCCAGGAGUUCCAGUCACUUAUAGAUCGUUGGUGUUUACGAAGGACAAAGGCUCUUAUUGCAGAUCAACUACCGCAGAAAGAUCAAAAGGUUGUGUUUUGUCCUUUAUCUAAUGUGCAAGAAGAAAUAUACAAAACACUGCUACAAACAAACGAUGUCCAACUAGUAUUGAAGCAAGGUGAACCUUGUGACUGUAGAAGCGAAUUAACUCGUGGAACGUGUUGCUAUGCGGUGAACGAAGAAGGAUCAACCAUGAAGAAGCUUUUAUUGCAAUGCCUAAGACUUUUUCUCAAAAUUUCUAAUCAUGCAGCGUUACUUCUACCUCACGUGAAACAGACGGACGAUCAACGUAAGCGGGCAAAAGCAGUUUGCGAGAAAGUGUUUGCAGUUCAUCCAGAGUUUGAGAGGGCGAGUAAAUCUCCGUCUUUCGAGUUGUUUUCUGACAGCAAUUUUUGUGGAAAGAUGAAAGUUUUGGACAAAUUGUUAAAAUUGUUUCAACAAGAAAAGGAUAAGGUGUUACUAUUUUCAUAUUCUACGCAAUUACUAGAUAUGCUGGAGGCUUACGUCAUAAGUUGUGGUAUGGUUUAUCGACGUUUGGAUGGCAAGACGCGCGGAGAACGAAGACUUGAUGUCGUGAGAGAAUUCAACACAAACGCAAAUGUCUUUUUGUUUCUUGUUUCAACUAAAGCUGGCGGUGUUGGUCUGAAUUUGACCAGUGCAAAUAUUGUCAUCGUAUUUGACCCAAGUUGGAACCCCGCUGAUGAUCUGCAGGCUGAAGACAGAGCUUAUCGUAUUGGUCAGAGACGUGACGUCAAGGUAUUUCGUUUGAUCUCAACUGGAACUGUGGAGGAAAAUAUGUAUUUACGUCAGAUUUAUAAACAGCAAUUGGCGAAUGUUGCCGUAGAAGGCAACAAUGAGCGACGUUAUUUCACUGCAGUCGACGGUGUAAAGAACAGAAAAGGAGAGUUGUUUGGAAUUGAAAACCUCUUCACACUCAGGAUUCACGGCUGCUCUGUCUCAACUGACAUUUUUAAGAGAUCUGAUAAAAUCGAGCGGGGUUUUCGUAUGGCGCAAUACGAGCUACUUCCCAAUGUUGACAUGGAAAAGAAAAUGAUUAGUGAGCAGUCGAUAAUUCCUUUAGCUCAAUGCAAGGAACCAGAAGAUGAAAAUGAUAGUUAUAAUUUGGAUGAAAUAACUUCACAGUUUAUUGAAGAUGAUGCAACAAACAUAGAUUGUUUGCAAGACAAUCCUGCAGAACACGAUUUACGUAGCGAGGUACUUUCACAACAUGACAAUGAUGAGAAACACAAUGAUGAAAAACAAAAGAUGAAAUUCACUAAAGUGUUGGAGGAGAAACGUGAAAAAGUUAUCAUCACACCAUUACACGAUGACGACAAAAAGAAAAGAAAAAAUAUCAGGAAGAGUGCAAGUCCUUCCAAGAAAAGACCGAUAUCUAAAGAUAGCCUAGUUAAUCAGAUACUAGGUAACAGGAUUGUGGCGUCCGGCAUACACAUAGCAAUAAGAUCAUCAUUGGUUCAAGUGAAGCUGAAAAUGCAAUGACGUCACGAGCGAUGAAAGAAGUGUUUGAUCUUGGCCAAUGUUCCCAACAACCUGCCAACUGUUUUGCUGCUAUUGAGAGUGAUGGCGAUGAAAGUGAUGAUAUUGGUGAACCUGCGGACAGAAAAUCUUCCAAGACAGAAGAAAAUUUUGACUUCCAGAAAACGGAG